RNAcentral lists this transfer RNA (89 nucleotides) under Danio rerio (zebrafish). It matches the Rfam family "tRNA". Rfam says of the family: Transfer RNA (tRNA) molecules are approximately 80 nucleotides in length. Their secondary structure includes four short double-helical elements and three loops (D, anti-codon, and T loops). Lineage: Eukaryota; Metazoa; Chordata; Actinopteri; Cypriniformes; Danionidae. The record is from Rfam by way of RNAcentral.
GGCUCUGAGGCGCAAUGGAUAGUGCAUUGGACUUCUAGGCUGUGAGCUGAGCCAUUCAAAGGUUGUGGGUUUGAGUCCCACCAGAGUUG